UCAAGUCCGUCACAUUCGUCUUUGGAAGGCCUCUUCAAUAUUACAAGGCCUCAUAAGGUUGUGAAAAACUCCACAUACCUGUUGUGGAUCCCACUUGGCAAGAUCAAAGUUGUUUCAAGAUGAAGCCGAGAAAAGAGAGUAUUGUGACUUGCAAUGGAAAUAUUGACGAGUCCCAGAAUGAUGGUGGCAUUAUCCACAUAUAAGUUGUUGAUGAGUCGAAACGGAAUACGUAUUAUGUCGCCCUCAUAUUCAAGGACACUGACACAGAUCCGGAAACGUAGUGACUAGUACUGGACAAGGGAAAGGAAAGCAAGUCUUAGACAAAAACUAUUCAGGAUGCAAGUCGCUUCGAGCCUGAACACUUCUGGGGCUGUACAAUCUUCAGAAGUCAUUCCUUCCCCUACUGUUAUCUGGAAUGCGAAUACACUGGAAACACCACAUUGGUUAAAAAUAAGUACCCUGACUAUCCUAACUCUCAAGCACUUUUUAUUCUUAAUAUGGUUUCAUUUGACAGACCUGAAGACUUUGGAGGAUAUUACUUUUGGCUACCUGCACAAAUUCUACCAUCAUUUAGGUUUCUCUCUUCAAUAUUAGGAGUAAAUAUAACUGAGAAAUUGUUGUGUAUUAGGGGUUCGAUGUACUACCACUAAAGAGUAACACGUGCACAGACCAAGUGCUACAAAACUGCUUUAUUAGAAUGCUA
This is a long non-coding RNA of Stylophora pistillata, 703 nucleotides long. RefSeq lists it as uncharacterized. NCBI's taxonomy places the organism in Eukaryota, Metazoa, Cnidaria, Anthozoa, Scleractinia, Pocilloporidae. The record is from RefSeq and is a predicted model, not a curated record.